RNAcentral lists this long non-coding RNA (3191 nucleotides) under Coffea arabica (coffee). RNAcentral describes it as "long non-coding RNA (CARA_LNC001927)". Lineage: Eukaryota; Viridiplantae; Streptophyta; Magnoliopsida; Gentianales; Rubiaceae. The record is from RNAcentral.
GAAGACCAAGAUUUUUUUCAUGUGCGACCUGUGACGCCCCCACUUCUCCCUAAGGCGAACCAAAGGGUAUCCGCGGAACGCCUGCCUAGCUCUCGCCAGGACUCAAGCAAUUCCAUUCAACUUAUAGCCAGACCACACAAUACAAGCCAAUAACUUAGAUACAAUAAAUGCGGAAGUAUUCAAACUUAAUAAUAGUCAUCCAUUCUCCAAACCACACGUCAGAAUAUCGAUUACAUUUCGUCCAAAGGGUCACAUCACGGGGUACCUAUCAGCUUGUCACCCGCACGCGGGCAUCCCCUACGGAGAGUUUCGCUUCGUGACUCUUCACGAACGAGAGGCUCGGGGCUUUUCCAGACGAAGGACUUAAGGUCCCAACUGUCGGCAUAUGGCUCUGAUACCAACUGUGACAGUUCUCAAGGUCACAUUUCCAUACCAAAAGUACAAUUCCAAAACCAAAGGCAUAACCAAAAGUAAUAACAAGCCCUAAACAAAAGUACAUCAAGAGGGCUUCUCCAUUUUACCUUCGAGUUCAAACCUGUUAAGGAAAACAAAUCUACAGGGUGAGCAAAACGCUCGUGAGGCCAAGAACACACAUGCAACCACAUAGUUCAGAUAACAAGCCCAAUAACAAUUCAGGUAUUAUCUUGCAAGUAAUUAAUAACACCAAUAAACUGUAACCAGAAACAAUUCAAGGAUAUAGAAGCUCUCAGGAGCUAAGUUCCACAUUUGCCGACACCGUUUAUAUAUCUUUCCGUGAUGACUCUCCGUCAACCGGAUUGAUAUUUUCAUAUCCGUAGUUCACCACUUACUUCCCAUCCGUCCACCAUAUACCACUUCGGGCCCGCACUACAUUUAUAAGGCGAUACUAUACGAGUAUGCCAAGCGAGAUCUCUCAAUAGAUCAAGCUUAUCAUUUGAGUUCAUGGCUCACCGAGGUUCCCGACCAAGCCCAUGCCGGCUCGAGUUCCAAGGUCGGCCUAUGAGUUUGGGCGUCCCCCAUUUGUCAUGUAAAUGUCGAGGAGAUUCACUCCAUCGACGUAUGCAAUCAUAGCAUACCAUUUCAUGUAUUCAAGCAUUUGAUAGGUUUAAGCAGACAUUUCAAGUCAUGUAAACCAAGCAAAUCAUGUUAAGCAUGAGUCAUUCGUUUCAAAUGAGAACGAGUGCGAUCAAGUACACACUCGACUCCAUUUUGUCAAAAUCAGUUAAGCUAAGCAUGAAAUCAGGUGAAUCAAGCAUGAAUCAAGACUUUAGGGUUCAAGUAGGCAUACACUUGACACUCACCAAGUUAUGCAAGCAAGUAAAUUGGAGGAAGAGUUCAAACUUCCACAGUAGGGUCCUCUUGGAGGUCCUCGUGCGUGCCUGAGCAAAUAAUAGUGAAUUGUCACCCAUAUCCCAAAUAUCGAGGAAUAAUUCGUUCACUAGUAUUACUCUAGGAAAUUCCGUGAAAAUAAACCUCAAUUACUCGUAAAUCGAGGUUCGAGAGAGGUUUAAUAACAUUCAACAAUAUUUAAGUCUUUAUCUAGGAAAUCGGGGAUAAAACGUUUAGAUAAUAUCAAAAGAAUAAAGAGUUCUUGAAAAACUCUAUUUCCUUGAAAGUUGGAAAAUUUUCAGUUUUGUUAUGAAUCUUUGAAAAAUCGUAACUCACUCGGUAUAAGUCGAGAAUUGGAAAACUUUAUACCGUUGAAAACCUCUUAGAAAGUACUGCAAGUUCCUAGAAGACACUUUUCCAUGAAUCGAAGUGGAAAGUGCUAAAAAAUGAGCCUAAAGUUGUUGUUCCAAAUCACCCAGGAUUGAGCCGGGGUUGGUUUUUCGCUAACUUUGAAAAUUCGGCAGAAUUCACUCGUUCCAAACCAACCCUUGAAAUUUAUAUAUCAAUUAGAGGUGCAAGUAAGGUUUAGGUCAGAACAAACGGAUCAAGAAUCGGAGUUUUGAGCACCAAGAUAUGGUAGCUCAAAGUUGGGAAAAAUUCAAGACUGUUACAAAAUUUCCAGAUUUGGUUCCAACUUUGGACCUUUAGUUAAGUGCCGAAACGGACUUGGAUUGACACCAAAUUUUGCAGUAUAAUACUUCCAUAUGAAGGUUAUCUCUCUAUCAAAUUUCAUGGAAAAAUACCCUCGGGAGGGGGGUCAUUCAAUCAACCAAAGUUUGGAAAAAUCCUUAAGGCAAUCUGUCCAAAUCUAAGAUUUUCAAAACGAGCAGUUGCCGUAUUUUGAUCAUAACUCUCUCAAUUUAACUCGGAAUUGGGAAUGGUUGAUAGUUUUAGAAAAUAAAUUCAUAGGGCUACAACUUCACAGAAGAAAUCGUUUCAAGUUUCAGCAUGCAACUGGUUCAAAAUCAAGGCUCAAGUUGCAGCAUUAUCAAAUCAUUUCGGCAGAACGGAGAAACAGGACAGCCGACUUCAGAUGAAUGGUGUGGCUCACACACAUAAAACCAGGACGUGCAUUAUACACCGAUAAAAAUAUGGAAAUGUCUAGUUUCAAAUGCCACUAACGGCACCUGAUUUCGACAUCGGAGUACGGAGUUAUGGACGAAAUACAACCACUGGUCUGGAUUACGGCGAAACCGUUUUCCAGUUUACUAGUUUUUGAAAUAAAUUUGUUUGAGCAACCAAAACUCAAUAUUUUUCAACGAAAUUUUGUACACAACUUCUACAACAUGUAAAAUACACAAUCAAGCCAUUAAAUCCUCAAUUUCUGCAAUAAAAUGACCGAACAGAGCAGGGGCAAAAUGGUCAAGUUUGGCCCUUGCUCUCUACGUGAGUUUCCUGCAGUUUUUCUUCGACGAAACACUAACUUAAACACUAAUCCGUCAUCAUAAACUUCAUCAAGCAUAGAAUCAGCAACAACCCAAGAGUGGGAAUUCAUAGAGCCCACUUUUUCCAACAAUACAAGCUACUAAAGUAAAGAUUCCAACUCAAAUGCGUAAAUCAAACUCCAUAAACAAGUUUAAGAAGUUAGAUGGCUACCUACUUUGAUGGCUGUUCAAAUCAGAAAAUUUCGGUCCCUAUGAAGCCUGAAGACAGCCGUGAAACUCCUCCCUUUUCCAGCCUAAGUUGUUGUCCAAGUGAAAAGCUAAACGAAUGUGAAGUUUGGUGAGAAUCUAUGGAAGUUUUGGUAGGAAUUUGGUUGAGUUUUAGAAGAAAAGAAAUGGUGACUUUGGUUGUUCCUUUGCUGCAGUCUAGCCGGCCAUUGU